RNAcentral lists this ribosomal RNA (254 nucleotides) under uncultured bacterium. Its description in RNAcentral is "partial 16S ribosomal RNA". It matches the Rfam family "Bacterial small subunit ribosomal RNA", at positions 524 to 776 of the family's 1533-position model. The record is from RNAcentral.
UACGGAGGGUGCAAGCGUUAUCCGGAAUCACUGGGUUUAAAGGGUGCGUAGGCGGCCCGAUAAGUCAGCUGUGAAAUCGCUGGGCUCAACCCAUGCAAUUGCGGUUGAUACUGUCGGGCUUGAAUGGGGUUGAGGCUGGCGGAAUGCGACAUGUAGCGGUGAAAUGCUUAGAUAUGUCGCAGAACACCGAUUGCGAAGGCAGCCAGCUGGGCCUUGAUUGACGCUGAGGCACGAAAGCGUGGGGAGCAAACAGG